CAGUCGCCGCGGUAAUGCGAAGGGUGCAAGCGUUAAUCGGAAUUACUGGGCGUAAAGCGCACGCAGGCGGUUUGUCAAGUCAGAUGUGAAAUCCCCGAGCUUAACUUGGGAACUGCAUUUGAAACUGGCAAGCUAGAGUCUUGUAGAGGGGGGUAGAAUCCCAGGUGUAGCGGUGAAAUGCGUAGAGAUCUGGAGGAAUACCGGUGGCGAAGGCGGCCCCCUGGACAAAGACUGACGCUCAGGUGCGAAAGCGUGGGGAGCAAACAGGAUUAGAUACCCGUGUAGUCCCUGUCUCUUAUAC
This 301-nucleotide ribosomal RNA is filed under the name uncultured bacterium. RNAcentral's name for it is "partial 16S ribosomal RNA". It matches the Rfam family "Bacterial small subunit ribosomal RNA", at positions 509 to 807 of the family's 1533-position model. The record is from RNAcentral.